AUGUCUCCAACAUCGAUGGCCACCAUUGUCUUCUCCGCCAUUAUCUUCAUGCUACUUUUCUUUACCACGACGGCUCAAGCCGGUGGAUCUGGUGGCGGCAAGCCCAGGGCGACCAACCUCGUGGUAGAAGUGUGCAAGACCGCCACAUUCAAGUACCCAUAUGGAGGUCAUGACAUAGAGGAAUUCUGUUUAACGACCCUCCAGUCGGACAAGCGAAGCACUGAGGCUAAGGACCUCCGUGACCUACAGCUAGUCACCGUCGACAUCCUUAGGGGUCGAGUCACUACUACCAGCGGCAAGGUCAAGAAAAUGUUGGAAAACAUCAAGAAGGGCACUCUGCCAAUGCGCAUCCUCAGUUUGUGUGAGGUGGAUUAUGACACCGUGGUGAGCGUCAUCAACAAAUAUGAUGCCAUGAUCAGGGAUUACCAAGGUGACGAGGGAGGGCUACGGUCCAUACAGCUAGUCCGUUGGAUGGGUAUUGCACGUGACCAUGUCGACGAGUGCAACUCCGAGCUUGUUGACAUGCCUGCGACGGGGGCUCUUGUCAAUGAAAACAAUGAAUUGGGCAUGCUGGUUAAACUGAACACCGCCUUGGGGGCACCAUAG
This 606-nucleotide ribosomal RNA is filed under the name Triticum aestivum (bread wheat). RNAcentral describes it as "partial small subunit ribosomal RNA". The record is from RNAcentral. Lineage: Eukaryota; Viridiplantae; Streptophyta; Magnoliopsida; Poales; Poaceae.